CAAUAGCGUAUACUAAAGUUGUUGCGAUUAAAAAGCUCGUAGUUGGAUCUCAGGCAUGGGCGCACGGUCCGCCUCGCGGCGGUCACUGUGUGUUUUGUUUCCCAUCCUACGCUUCCCGGUUAUCAGCCCAUGGUGCUCUUCACUGCGCGUUUUGGGUGGCCGGAACGUUUACUUUGAAGAAAUUAGAGUGUUCAAAGCAGGCACGUUGCCUGAAUAAUGGUGCAUGGAAUAAUGGAAUAGGACCUCGGUUCUAUUUUGCUGGUUUUCGGAACACGAGGUAAUGAUUAAGAGGGACAGACGGGGGCAUCCGUAUUGCGGUGUUAGAGGUGAAAUUCUUGGAUCAUCGCAAGACGAACAACUGCGAAAGCAUUUGCCAAGCAUGUUUUCAUUAG
This 392-nucleotide ribosomal RNA is filed under the name uncultured eukaryote. RNAcentral's name for it is "partial 18S ribosomal RNA". It matches the Rfam family "Eukaryotic small subunit ribosomal RNA", at positions 592 to 976 of the family's 1831-position model. The record is from RNAcentral.